This is an RNA transcript of Myotis brandtii (Brandt's bat), 1641 nucleotides long. It is a transcript of the gene named F-box only protein 31, with no coding region annotated. Lineage: Eukaryota; Metazoa; Chordata; Mammalia; Chiroptera; Vespertilionidae. The record is from RefSeq and is a predicted model, not a curated record. The transcript has a single exon.
AUGGAGGAGGAGUGCACUUGUCGCUGUGGCCUAGGCCCUUCGCGAGGAUGCCAGUGUCGCCAGCAGCGCCUGGGACCAGCUGAGAUGACUGCGGCCAACAGUAAGCCGGCCCGGGCCCCUGAAGAGCAGCACGUGGAGGCGGACACGGUGGCUGGGUCCUCUGCUGGGAGUGGAGGGAUCAGGAGCCCCAUGCCACCCCGGCCGCCCCCGCGAUGCUCGCUGCAGGACCUGCCUCCUGAGCUGCUGGUGGAGAUCUUCGCCUCGCUCCCCGGCACCGACCUGCUCAGCCUGGCCCAGGCCAGCACCAAAUUCCACAGCAUGCACCACACCGACAGCAUCUGGAGACGGCACUGCCGGGAGGAGUAUGGCGCUUGUGAAAACUUGCAGAACCUGGAGAUGAUGGGUGUGUCUUGGCGAGAACUCUAUGAGAAGUUGCUCCACCCAUGCAGACACAUUUUGGGAUUGUGGCAGCUAGAUAACUGGCCCUAUGGAGGACUGCUGUAUGUAGUGGUGGACAGCUUAUGCAUUAUUGGUCAGACGUACCUGUCUCUCCUUGACCCCCAGGUGGAUAACUCAAUGCAGUUCAAGCCCGCGUUUAGAAUUCGCCUGACAGAGAGGAAAUCGGCCACAAUGGAGUGCACGGAUGGCCGCCAAGGGCCCCACAGCUGCCACAUGCAGAUUCGGAAGGACGGGUUCUCCACCAAGUGCAACAUGAGGCAACACCACAGGAUACCUGGUGGGAGCCAAGAGGAUUUACAUGCGUGGCUGCAGGAAGAAUGGGGGCAGACGCUGGAGCACAUUUUCCAGGAGCACAGGCUGCGGGUCAUGCUGAAGAAGCUCAUCUACCAGCAGAAUGACAACUGCCGGAACUACCACCGCAUCUACCUCUCCCCCAGCCACCCGGAGGACCUCAUCAGGCCAGGCCUCUUCAAAGGCACCCACGAUGCCUACAGCCUAGUAGAGGUUGUCAUGCUCAGCUUCCAUGGGAAGCAUGCCAGGGUCACGAAGAUCACGGGCGACCACCACGUCCCUGCUGGGCAGCAGAUGAUAGAGAUCCACCUCAGGCACCGCAUCCAUUUGCCUGAUGAUAUCUUCAGCAACUUCAACAAGUACUCCCUCCUGGUCCAAGAGGUUCAUGAGCAGGUGAUCCAGGAGCAGCAGCAAGAAGACAGCACUGAGGCCUGCGAGGGCCAUGGCUGGCUGAGCCCUGCGCAGCCCAGUGUCGGGGAGUCCGGGGCUGCAGCUUUGGAGGAGCAGCCUGUCCAGUUUGUCCUGCCUGCGGGCGUGAACUCAAGUAACCAGAAUUACCCCCGAGCCUGCAGGAUGGGUUUCUAUUGCGUGGGCAUUGUUGCCCGCUCUGGCUCCGCCUACCCGCAGCGCAUCCCUGGAGUCUUCAUGCUGUUCGGUGAAGACAACUUCGGGUUCAUCUGGCUGGAACCGAAUUGCCUCAGCCUGUACAGCAGAGUCCAGGUCACCUUCCAGAAUGCGGAGGCACCAUCCCCACAGGCUUUCCAGGAGAUGCUCAAGAACAUUCAGUCCCCACCCCCUGACGGCCCCUUCCUUGCCCAGGGGCAACAGCGGGGAGAAGAGGCUUCAGAGGAACAGCAGCUUGCAUGCACUUUUGGAGAUUUGACCUUCUGA